CCUAACCGACUGAGCCACCCAGGUGCCCCUAGAUUGUAAUUUUUAAAAAACUCGUCCAAAUGGGCAUGAAUACCCGCAAUUAGUCACAGAUUUUUUUUUCUAAUGAAACUGGUUUUGCUCCUGUUUUUUGGAAGACUGAAUCCAUGAUGAAAAUGAUGUGUUUUUGGCUCCUUAAAAAGAUGGGGCUGGUGAGCCCAGAGCUUCCCUCUGGCAAUAGGUUUAAUGAAGAGAGGCUUGUGCUAAUCUGGUUACCAGUCGCCCCUAUUGAGGAGAAGGUGGAAAAGUCUUUUUCGCAUCCUGAAAUUCUGAAAAAGUUAGCGACAAAUCUUCAAUGGAACCUUUGCCUCUUCAGCCAUUUACUGUAUUGAUUCACCUACCGUGGGGCGAAGUUCAGUGGUGUGACCCAACGGUCAGGACCCACGGCGUAUGAAGCGUUAAUCACCCAUUAGCCUACCUACUCCCAUGACCUGUUGAUCCAUCAGCUUGCUUACAAGAAGAGAGCUAAAUGGUCCUAAGAGGUAUUUUAUAUAACCCAAAAAAUGUCCAUGAGAAGUUGAUCCUCGGAUGAAAAAGGAAGUAGGAAACACUUUCAUUGAUUUCCAAGGCAUUUUACUGCCUUCCACUGCAGAGCGGGUGGAUGAUUGAGGGAACGGCACGCACUUUUCCCCAGCACCCCCUGACAACGCUGGUGAAGUGACUCGACGAACUCGGAUUCCUAAAAAAGGAGGGGGCAUCAAAAAUGAUUUCUGCAGAUCUUGGGAAUGCGUGAUAUCAAGCCCAAGUUGUAACCAGGCUUCAUUUACUAAGUGCUGCAUUACCUCAUCCUGUAGUUUAACUAUGGAUUUUCUAUAAAUCUUCAUACGGCCAAACAUGAUAAACUGCUCAACACAUCACAGAACAAGGCAGCGCUUAUUAGCACUUGAGAAGUUAUUGAUCGCUGGUCUUGAUUAAUCUUUUAUGGGUCUCCGUAGUAUUAAUUCCAGAGGCUAGACCGGGGUACCCACGGCGGGGCCCAUUCACAGUUUCUGUUUCAAUUACGAGGUUUUUGACGCCUGCAGCGAUUAUUCUAAUUGUGACUUUUCUAGUACAGAUUGGUUUUGGUCUCUAUUUAUCAACAAUGAGCAUUUUAAAAUUAAAUUUAUUUUCAAGACAUGGCAGGAAGAUGAAAAGUGUGUUCCAAAAGGGUGUUUCAUACUUAAGGGUAAAAAGGAAUUUUUAUGUAUGUUUUAAAAUAAAAUUUACUUUUCUUGAUUA
Molecule: long non-coding RNA, 1254 nt
Organism: Hyaena hyaena (striped hyena)
Lineage: Eukaryota; Metazoa; Chordata; Mammalia; Carnivora; Hyaenidae
Exons: 2
Source: RefSeq, a predicted model, not a curated record